ACAGCAGUAGCCGCGGGAAUACGAAGGGUGCAAGCGUUAAUCGGAAUUACUGGGCGUAAAGCGUGCGUAGGCGGAUAUUUAAGUCAGGGGUGAAAUCCCAGAGCUCAACUCUGGAACUGCCUUUGAUACUGGGUAUCUUGAGUAUGGAAGAGGUGAGUGGAAUUCCGAGUGUAGAGGUGAAAUUCGUAGAUAUUCGGAGGAACACCAGUGGCGAAGGCGGCUCACUGGUCCAUUACUGACGCUGAGGUGCGAAAGCGUGGGGAGCAAACAGGAUUAGAUACCCCAGUAGUCCCUGUCUCUUAUAA
RNAcentral lists this ribosomal RNA (305 nucleotides) under uncultured bacterium. RNAcentral describes it as "partial 16S ribosomal RNA". It matches the Rfam family "Bacterial small subunit ribosomal RNA", at positions 508 to 809 of the family's 1533-position model. The record is from RNAcentral.